This 558-nucleotide ribosomal RNA is filed under the name Cherax albertisii. RNAcentral describes it as "partial 16S ribosomal RNA". It matches the Rfam family "Bacterial large subunit ribosomal RNA", at positions 1812 to 2642 of the family's 2925-position model. The record is from RNAcentral. Lineage: Eukaryota; Metazoa; Arthropoda; Malacostraca; Decapoda; Parastacidae.
AACAUGUCUGUAUGAGAGUUAUAUAAAGUCUGACCUGCCCAUUGGGGACUAAAAGGCCGCGGUAUUUUGACCGUGCGAAGGUAGCAUAAUCAUUAGUCUUUUAAUUGAAGGCUGGAAUGAAUGGUUGGACGAGAAGAAAGCUGUCUCUAUCUUGGGGAUUGAAUUUAACUUUUAAGUGAAAAGGCUUAAAUGAGUUAGAGGGACGAUAAGACCCUAUAAAGUUUAUACAUGAAGCUGGUUAAGAGUGAUUUGAGGUAUUAAAGUUUAUUAUCAGCAGGGUGUUUAGUUGGGGCGACUAGGAUAUAAAUUAUAUAACUGUUUUUUGUUUAAAUCAGAGAUACUUGUUUAUAUGAUCCCUUUUUAGGAUUAGAGAAUAAAUUACUUUAGGGAUAACAGCGUAAUUUUUUUUAAGAGUUCUUAUCGACAAGAGAGUUUGCGACCUCGAUGUUGAAUUAAAAAUUUCUUUGUGGUGUAGCAGUUACAGAAGAAGGUCUGUUCGACCUUUAAAUUUUUACAUGAUUUGAGUUCAGACCGGCGAAAGCCAGGUUGGUUUCUAUC